UACGUAGGGUGCAAGCGUUGUCCGGAAUUAUUGGGCGUAAAGCGCUCGUAGGCGGUUUGUUGCGUCGGCUGUGAAAUCCCGAGGCUCAACCUCGGGUCUGCAGUCGAUACGAGCAAACUAGAGUGUUGCAGGGGAGACUGGAAUUCCUGGUGUAGCGGUGAAAUGCGCAGAUAUCAGGAGGAACACCGGUGGCGAAGGCGGAUCUCUGGGCCUGUCCUGACGCUGAGGCGCGAAAGCUAGGGGAGCGAACAGG
This 253-nucleotide ribosomal RNA is filed under the name uncultured bacterium. RNAcentral's name for it is "partial 16S ribosomal RNA". It matches the Rfam family "Bacterial small subunit ribosomal RNA", at positions 524 to 776 of the family's 1533-position model. The record is from RNAcentral.